This 330-nucleotide long non-coding RNA is filed under the name Gossypium barbadense (sea-island cotton). Its description in RNAcentral is "long non-coding RNA (GBAR_LNC020550)". Lineage: Eukaryota; Viridiplantae; Streptophyta; Magnoliopsida; Malvales; Malvaceae. The record is from RNAcentral.
GCCAGUUGAAGAAAACUGUGAUGUGGGGACUGAAAAAGUGGACCAAAUUAAAUGCAAAUGCAACAAUGCUAAAGCCCCAUCAUCUGGGUAAAUUGCUUCACCAUUCCAAGCAAAUUAUAAUUAGUAAUAAUAAUUCAGAAUCAGAACUGCAAAAUAUCAGGUUUUUGACUAAACAUUGAUCCUAGUAUCCAUUAAUUGUGUUGUCAGUUUCAUGUUCAAGGAAAACCUUUGGUUGAAGGAAGAUCCUCAUAUAAAGCAUGGAAAUAUUAAUUAUGUGAGCUACCUAUUUGACAUCUGACAACUAAGGUUAGAGCCUGUGUUACAUCAGGG